Molecule: ribosomal RNA, 392 nt
Filed under: Marinobacter arcticus
Lineage: Bacteria; Pseudomonadati; Pseudomonadota; Gammaproteobacteria; Pseudomonadales; Marinobacteraceae
Description: bacterial SSU rRNA
Rfam family: Bacterial small subunit ribosomal RNA
Source: RNAcentral
UGAGGACGGCAACCUGAUGCUGCACCUGCAACGCCUGGAAACCACGCUGAAUGGCUGUCCCUCAGCUCGUGUCGUGAGAUGUUGGGUUAAGUCCCGUAACGAGCGCAACCCUUGAUCCUUAGUUACCAGCACGUAAUGGUGGGCACUCUAAGGAGACUGCCGGUGACAAACCGGAGGAAGGUGGGGAUGACGUCAAGUCAUCAUGGCCCUUACGGCCUGGGCUACACACGUGCUACAAUGGUCGGUACAGAGGGUUGCCAAGCCGCGAGGUGGAGCUAAUCCCAGAAAACCGAUCGUAGUCCGGAUCGCAGUCUGCAACUCGACUGCGUGAAGUCGGAAUCGCUAGUAAUCGCGAAUCAGAAUGUCGCGGUGAAUACGUUCCCGGGUCUUGU